This is a non-coding RNA of Phascolarctos cinereus (koala), 864 nucleotides long. Lineage: Eukaryota; Metazoa; Chordata; Mammalia; Diprotodontia; Phascolarctidae. The record is from RefSeq and is a predicted model, not a curated record.
CAUUGUACCAGUGACCAGGCUGUGAUCCAUGUCAGUCCAACCACUGAGCAAGCUUCCUGUGGAAGGGAGAAUGAACAGAGGCACAGUGCUGGCUGAACCCAUCCCUGACCUAGAUUCCGCGUUCAGCUAGCUGCUCUGUCUCUCAGCCAAGGCCAUCUGUCCUCUGGGGCAGGGUCUCAAGGGACGAUGAGAUUCUAUCAAUCAAUUAAGUUUAUUCAGGCCCUACUAUGUGCCAGGCACUGUUCAGCCCGGGAACCAGGACCCCUGGUCUCUGCCACUGAGUAACCCUAAUUAGCUAAUGGCAGGAGAGUGACAAAGAGGAAGGAAGACGCAAGAUUGUUGAGGUCCGCCCAGCCACCAGGGUCUACUCAAGACGCAAAGGUCAGCUAUUCACAGCCUCUGCCGACUACAAGGUGGAACCAACACUGGGAGUCACAGCAAUCCUAUUUUUCAUCUCAACGAAGAGCUGAAGAAUACCAACAUUACUCUAAUUUUCUAAUCGUUCCCCAGUGCAAAAUCCCCCGACACUUAGGUGAUCUGCCACCCUGGAAGACAAAGGUACCAUACCCCAAGCUGGCUCAGAGCAGGUACGGACAGGCCAGAGAGAGAAAGGCCUUCGAAAUAAUGGCUGAGAGAGAAUGCACCAGUAGUUUUGGUAGAAAAAUUUAUUAUACAUACAGAAUAGCCACUAACUAAAGGUAAACACGCUAGGACAGAGUUGUGCUAGAUGGAAGAUGGCCGCAAGCUCUUUGGAAAUCAAACAGGUGAUGGUGGCUCUGGUCUCGACACGACAUCAGCCACUCAGGGGCAAGGGCUGGUUCUGAGCACAGACGGCAGGAGCUGGGGGUGACACGAGCACUCCAA